This is a non-coding RNA of Colossoma macropomum (tambaqui), 484 nucleotides long. The record is from the annotation of a RefSeq genome assembly. Lineage: Eukaryota; Metazoa; Chordata; Actinopteri; Characiformes; Serrasalmidae.
UAUCAGCAGCAUCUCAGACAACACUUCAACAACACUGUCUGUUUAGCUUCAGCAGGAAGAUGAUUCUGAGUUAUUGUAUAUUAAUGAUACUGAUUUCAUAUUCUUAUGGACAGUCUCUGACCUCCUCUGAGUCAGUGGUGGAGAAACCUGGGAAAUCGGUCACUCUGUCCUGUUCUGUGUCUGGUUUCUCAGUGAGCAGCUACUACAUGAGCUGGAUCCGUCAGAAACCUGGAAAAGGACUGGAGUGGAUUGGUUACAUUGAUUAUGGCUCUAGCACUUACUUUGCCCAGUCACUACAGGGCCAGUUCUCCAUCACUAAAGACACCAGUAAAAACAUGCUGUACCUGCAGGUGAAGAGCCUGAAAGCUGAAGACACGGCUGUUUAUUACUGUGCAGCGGGGUCACACUGAUACAAAAAGGCUACAGACUCAUAUAAAAACCUGCUCAAGCUCAUCUUCUGUUGGCCAGAUGUGACAGAGCUGUA